ACAACCCUUAAGGAAUAAGGUUGAUUAUGUAAGGAUUGUUGGGUAUAAGGAAGUCAAUACGCCCUAAGGUCAAAGAUAUAAGUUAACACAAGGAUUACUAAGGAAGACUUGUAUUCUCAACAAAUGAUGUUGAGAAGACAGUCAAAAGGAACAAGUGCUGGAAUAAUUCCAUGGCCUCGAGACAUAAGUGAAGGACUAAAGAAUUCAAGGGUGAAUAUAAGGACAAGUCGGAGAAGGACAAACCCGUAAAAAGACCCUUGAGGAACUUGGAAGGACAUAACUAAGAACUAGUACAAAAAAGAACCCGAGGAACCUUUAAGAUACAACCGUGAAGGAAUAAGGUUGAUUAUUUCGAGGCUUGUUGGGUAUAAGGAAGACAAUGCGCACUAAGCUUUAAGAUAUAAGGUAAGGAUCAAAUGCUGGAACAAGUUCAUGUACUCAAGACAUAAGUUAAGGAAUAAUGGAUGCAAGAACAAGGACAAGCCAGAAAAGGGCAAACCCGUAAAAGGACCCUCAAGGAACUUGGAAGGACAUAACUAAGAAAGAGCAAAGAGUACAAUAAGGAACAAGAGGAACCUCUAAGAUACACCUUUGAUGGAAUAAGGUUGAUUACUUCAAGGCUUUUUGGGUAUAAGGAAAGCAAUGCACCUUAAGCUCUAAAAGAUAAUACGGACUAAUGGACGCAAGAAUGAAUAUAAG
Long non-coding RNA from Cucurbita maxima (winter squash), 699 nucleotides. RefSeq lists it as uncharacterized. NCBI's taxonomy places the organism in Eukaryota, Viridiplantae, Streptophyta, Magnoliopsida, Cucurbitales, Cucurbitaceae. The record is from RefSeq and is a predicted model, not a curated record. The transcript has 2 exons.